RNAcentral lists this ribosomal RNA (440 nucleotides) under uncultured bacterium. Its description in RNAcentral is "partial 16S ribosomal RNA". It matches the Rfam family "Bacterial small subunit ribosomal RNA", at positions 338 to 795 of the family's 1533-position model. The record is from RNAcentral.
CCUACGGGGUGCAGCAGUGGGGAAUAUUGCACAAUGGGGGAAACCCUGAUGCAGCGACGCCGCGUGAGUGAAGAAGUAAUUCGUUAUGUAAAGCUCUAUCAGCAGGGAAGAAAAUGACGGUACCUGAGUAAGAAGCCCCGGCUAACUACGUGCCAGCAGCCGCGGUAAUACGUAGGGGGCAAGCGUUAUCCGGAUUUACUGGGUGUAAAGGGAGCGUAGACGGCAGUGCAAGUCUGGAGUGAAAGGCGGGGGCUCAACCGCGGAACCGCUUUGGAAACUGCGAGGCUGGAGUGCUGGAGAGGUAAGCGGAAUUCCUGGUGUAGCGGUGAAAUGCGUAGAUAUCAGGAGGAACACCGGUGGCGAAGGCGGCUUACUGGACAGUGACUGACGUUGAGGCUCGAAAGCGUGGGGAGCGAACAGGAUUAGAUACCCUUGUAGUC